GACGGAGGGUGCAAGCGUUGCUCGGAAUUACUGGGCGUAAAGGGUGCGUAGGCGGCCUUUCAAGUCCGGCGUGAAAGCCCAGGGCUCAGCCUUGGAAGUGCGCUAGAAACUGAAUGGCUAGAGUAUCGGAUGGGAGAGUGGAAUUCCUGGUGUAGCGGUGAAAUGCGUAGAUAUCAGGAGGAAUACCGGUGGCGAAGGCGACUCUCUGGACGAUAACUGACGCUGAGGCACGAAAGCGUGGGGAGCAAACAGG
RNAcentral lists this ribosomal RNA (253 nucleotides) under uncultured bacterium. RNAcentral describes it as "partial 16S ribosomal RNA". It matches the Rfam family "Bacterial small subunit ribosomal RNA", at positions 524 to 776 of the family's 1533-position model. The record is from RNAcentral.